GGCCACGUCACGUUGAAACACCGAUUCCCGUACAAUCUCCGAAGUUAAGCAAUGUUGUGCUUGGUCACUACCUAGAUGAGUGACCGCGUAGGAAUAACAGGUGCUGUAAG
Acanthosepion pharaonis is the source of this 110-nucleotide non-coding RNA. The record is from the annotation of a GenBank genome assembly. Lineage: Eukaryota; Metazoa; Mollusca; Cephalopoda; Sepiida; Sepiidae.